This 483-nucleotide ribosomal RNA is filed under the name uncultured bacterium. RNAcentral's name for it is "bacterial SSU rRNA". It matches the Rfam family "Bacterial small subunit ribosomal RNA", at positions 328 to 801 of the family's 1533-position model. The record is from RNAcentral.
UCUGUGAACUCCUACGGGAGGCAGCAGUAGGGAAUCUUCCGCAAUGGGCGAAAGCCUGACGGAGCAACGCCGCGUGAGUUAAGAAGGAUUUCGGUUCGUAAACCUCUGUUGUUAGGGAAGAAUGAUUGUGUAGUAACUAUACACAGUAGAGACGGUACCUAACCAGAAAGCCACGGCUAACUACGUGCCAGCAGCCGCGGUAAUACGUAGGUGGCAAGCGUUGUCCGGAAUUAUUGGGCGUAAAGCGCGCGCAGGUGGUUUAAUAAGUCUGAUGUGAAAGCCCACGGCUCAACCGUGGAGGGUCAUUGGAAACUGUUAAACUUGAGUGCAGGAGAGAAAAGUGGAAUUCCUAGUGUAGCGGUGAAAUGCGUAGAGAUUAGGAGGAACACCAGUGGCGAAGGCGGCUUUUUGGCCUGUAACUGACACUGAGGCGCGAAAGCGUGGGGAGCAAACAGGAUUAGAAACCCGAGUAGUCCAUCAGCG